Molecule: ribosomal RNA, 1558 nt
Filed under: Amphiuma means (two-toed amphiuma)
Lineage: Eukaryota; Metazoa; Chordata; Amphibia; Caudata; Amphiumidae
Description: 16S ribosomal RNA
Rfam family: Bacterial large subunit ribosomal RNA
Source: RNAcentral
GUUAUAAAAAUAGCCAAAAAACCACACUAAUACUAAUAUAAUAAUAAAAUCAUUCCAAGUUGUAGUAUAGGGGAUAGAAUAAUAUUUUAAGAGCAAUAGAAACAGUACUGAAAAGGAAAAAUGAAAUAGAAAUUAAAUAAACCAUAAAAACAAAGAAAAGCAAAGACAAAAUCUUUUACCUUUUGCAUAAUGGUUUAGCAAGUCAAACCUAACAAAAAGAAUUUAAGUUAAUCACCCCGAAACCAGACGAGCUACUCUGGAGCAGCACAAUAGAGCAAACCCGUCUCUGUGGCAAAAGAGUGGGAGGACUUCAAAGUAGAGGCGACAAACCUAACGAGCCUGGUGAUAGCUGGUAGCUUGAGAAAUGAAUCUUAGUUCAACUAGAAAUAUUUUUUAAACAAAAUAAAGAAUCUAAUAAUACUUCUAAUAUAAUUAACAAGGGUACAGCCUUGUUAAUAAAGGAUACAGCCUAAUUAAAUGAAUAAUGAUUACAAUAUAAAAAGAAACAAACAAUGUGGGCCUAAAAGCAGCCACCAAAAUAAAAAGCGUCAAAGCUUAAUACAACCAACCCUUAUUAUCUAACUAAACAAUCAAAUUUCAAUACUAGUAUCAAGCCAAUCUAUAACAUAGAUAUGCUGAUGCUAAAAUUAGUAACAAGGACGCACCCUCUAAAUGCAAGUGUAAACCAUAACGAAACAUUCCCUGGUAAUUAACGAACCAACCUAAAAGAACUAUAAAACAAUAAAAACCUAUAAAAAUAAUCGUUAGCCCAACACAGGAGCAUAAAAGAAAGAUUAAAAGUUUAAAAAGGAACUCGGCAAACAAAAGCCCCGCCUGUUUACCAAAAACAUCGCCUCUUGACCAACUAAUAUAAGAGGUACUGCCUGCCCAGUGACACACGUUUAACGGCCGCAGUAUCAUGACCGCGCGAAGGUAGCGCAAUCACUUGUUUUCUAAAUAAAGACCCGUAUGAACGGCAAAACGAGGGCUUAACUGUCUCUUUAAACUAAUCAGUAAAAUUGAUCUCCUCGUGCAGAAGCGAGGAUACUAAUAUAAGACGAGAAGACCCUAUGGAGCUUUAGACCUAAACUACCUAAUUAUUUAUAACAUAUAAUUUUUAGACCUAGUCAACGUCUUAGGUUGGGGUGACCACGGAGAAAAAAAAAUCCUCCGAGAUGAAUAAGCAAAGAGAUACAUCUCUCUGCCAUAAGAAACUUAACAUAAUUGAUCCAAUAUCUUGAUCAACGAACCAAGUUACCCUAGGGAUAACAGCGCAAUCCUUUCUAAGAGUCCAUAUCGACGAAUGGGUUUACGACCUCGAUGUUGGAUCAGGACACCCAAAUGGCGCAGCAACUAUUAAAGGUUCGUUUGUUCAACGAUUAAAGUCCUACGUGAUCUGAGUUCAGACCGGAGCAAUCCAGGUCGGUUUCUAUCUAUAAAAAUUGUUUCUAGUACGAAAGGACCGAAAAAAUAAGGCCAAUUGAAUACAAAGCCUUUAAAUAUACUACUGAUAAUAACUCAAGAAGGACAAAACAAACUUCAAUGUCAAGAUACGACU